UGAGAAUGUUAGACACCUGUCGCAUAAUUAAGUUAUAUGAUGACGUACAGGGUGUUCUCCACCCCUUCUCAACCAAACCACUCUGAGUGAGUGCGAAACUGAACAAACUCAAACCAGACGUGAUGAGGAACGCGCCCAUCCAAUCGACUUGUCGGUUUCCGUUAUCUUUUUUUGAGGGCUCCGGAGGUAUGGAGAACACACCGCCGACAACAGGGAAUAAGGAAAGACCAGCAAGGAUAAAAAAGACAUAUUGCCAGGCGCGACUGUUGAUGAACUACAAUGAUCAUGCCUGGUCCAGAGCCGACGGGGUAGCCUAAGGCCAAAGCGGCAAAAGCGAUGGUCCUUCCGGGUUCACUGUCGAAAGUAACACCGAUGAUACCGAACGCGGCAGGCAAUGCAACAGAUAUAGCAAGGCCAGCGAAGGCACGAAGAACACAUAUACCGAUAUAGUUCUAUGCACGUCAUUAUCACCUGACUCAAAAGGAAAUUAUCUCCAAGACUCACUCGAACAACACCAGAAAUAACAUUCAAGAUCAAGAAAGCCGCCAUACCGAGCAAAUAGAGCCACUUCCUCCCAUACAAAUCAGCCAAUCGCCCAGAUACCAAAAGGCCACAGCCAUUGGCCAAUGAGUAGGCUGAACUGAUCUGUGACGACAUCAGCUCUACAUGCUUUAUUUGCGCUUAAAAGAAAAUGGCUUACCCACUGGGCUUGCAGUUCAGUGAUACCCAAAUCCCUGGCAGAGUUGGGGAUACAAAGAAGAGAUGAAGACAAAGUGGCAGACUGCGAAAAUAAUUAGCACAGAUUCUUCGGCAAUAUCUUCAUCAAACUUACUGCAACAAAUGUGGUACUCAUCAUGACGGUGCCCAGCAAAAUCCUCUUGCUUUUGGACAAAACCACCUUCUGUGGAGGAGCAUACUCUAAGGUCGGCAAGUAGUUUUCGACUGGAGUCUGCUGACCCGACUCUAGCUCAUCUUUCUCUUUUUCCUUGUCAUCCGUUGACCUUUCCGAUAUUUUGCUAGUGGCACGAGAAAGACCACUUGGGGGGAAGACAAAUUGCCUGUCUUCAGUUGCCGCUGGAGUGUUGGCGGCGGUAGAUGAGGAAGAGGGAAGAUAGAGGUAUUUCUCUUCCGAAGUGAUGCCAGUCAUUGCACCGGAUCGCUUAAUGCUGGUGAUAAGAUGGUGAAAGAGGUACUAAAAUAGGAGGUUGGCUUUUAUAUGUUAUUAGGUCUGAUUUUGUCGUUUCAGACAGAAUCUAUCGGAAAACCAGCUGGAUGGUGCUAAUAUAAAGGCCUCCCGAGAGAAUAGUAAAUGAAUACAAAUGAAAGAGAAC
This 1331-nucleotide small RNA is filed under the name Cryptococcus neoformans H99. RNAcentral describes it as "Cryptococcus neoformans var. grubii H99 hypothetical RNA". The record is from RNAcentral. Lineage: Eukaryota; Fungi; Basidiomycota; Tremellomycetes; Tremellales; Cryptococcaceae.